UAUCAAUCAAUUAAGCAUUCCUCAUUGGCUUAAGUUAGCAGAUCCAAGAAUUUUUCUUUUUGCAAGAAACACAAUUGAGGCGGUUUCUCUGUUCGGACAGUCAAAUUUUAUUAAUAGUGACCUUAAUAGAACAAUGGCAAAGUGUUGAGAAAUUUAACUGAUAGACCAGAAAAUAGGUUCAUUAUUUUGGAAAAGAUGUAUAAAGGUACAACAGGCCUUCUGGAAACGCUGGUCAGUUAAGUAUUUGAAUGGAUCGCAGAAUCGCACGAAAGGUGUUCUGCUAUUAAUAAUAUAAAAGUAAACUCGGUUGUGUUAGUUAGACCAUAACUUACCGCCAUUCAAGUGGAACCAGGCACGUAUAUUAGGGCUGUUCCCAGGUAUUUUCUCCGGCCAAUUGUAAAAUUAUGUCUGUUGCCUUAUGAGGCUUAAUCGUAUUAGUUGAGGACGUUGCCUCAAGGGGGAGGGGAGAGAAUGUUGGAAUUUAAACAAAUUUUCUUUAACUUUCAAUAUUAAAUAUAAAAUAAAAACCAACUGAUAAUCUAAAAAAUGAUUAACCAUUUAUACAUAUAUUCCAGGAACUGAAAAAUCGUUUACGGUCGAAUUUACACUUUCCGUCCGUGCCACCCUUCGUUCGCUUCGUUUCGCUCGCAAUUAAUUGCAUUUUUAACAUUGCGCAACUAUGGAAAUUUGUUCUCCUGUUUUUCCCCUUUUUGGGAUUAUUACUUUAAUUCGUAAUUCAGAUUGUGUAAUUCUUCAAGGACUAUUUAGUUAAUAAAUGCAGAGGUAUUACUCCAGAAAGACUUUUGUUGAAAUAAGCUGUCAGAAAAUGGCAAUGACAAUAAUUUUUGUCCAAUUUUAAAACAAACUUCUUGACAUCCUAAUAGCAAAAUCAACAUAAAAAAUGGAUUUUGAGCAUGUGGGCUUUACCCAUAUAAUCCUGAUGCAGUCAAGUAAACCAAAUGUGUGCAAAAUGCACUAGAAAAUACAACAGAUGCAGGUCAAAGAAAACCCAGCCAUAACAUCAGAAGAAAUAACCAGCGCAACAAAAGUUACUUAUCUUAAAUCCGUUCUAAUAGAAAACAAUUUUAACCUGCUGAUGUUUCUAGUAAAUACUAUAAGCCCUAAAAAUAGCAGCAACAAUAAUACUGGCACUACAAUUUCAUCAGAAUUUGAAGUUAAAGAAGAUGGAUUUUUAUAUCCUGUACAACGCAGUCCCGCAACAGUGACGAAAUUGUACAUCCUAUGUAAAGAAGACCAAGUACUUUUUUGAAAGUCGAACAUCAAUGCUAAUAAAAAUUUGGAAAAUGCUGAAGAGACAGCAUCACAAUAAAGUCUAAUGAAAAUAAAAAAAGUCGAUGAAGCGAGAGAAGCAUACAGAAGGAAAAAGAAAAUAUAGCAUUAUUACCAGUUAAAUAAGAAUAAAAGUAAUUAAAUUAAUGUUUUUUUUUAUUAAAGACUAUUGAUUCCUAUUUUUAUAGUUUGU
This is a long non-coding RNA of Anthonomus grandis grandis, 1483 nucleotides long. RefSeq lists it as uncharacterized. The transcript is spliced from 4 exons. The record is from RefSeq and is a predicted model, not a curated record. NCBI's taxonomy places the organism in Eukaryota, Metazoa, Arthropoda, Insecta, Coleoptera, Curculionidae.